This 464-nucleotide ribosomal RNA is filed under the name uncultured bacterium. RNAcentral describes it as "partial 16S ribosomal RNA". It matches the Rfam family "Bacterial small subunit ribosomal RNA", at positions 339 to 795 of the family's 1533-position model. The record is from RNAcentral.
CUACGGGGUGCUCCAGUGGGGAAUAUUGCACAAUGGGCGCAAGCCCGAUGCAGCCAUGCCGCGUGUAUGAAGAAGGCCUUCGGGUUGUAAAGUACUUUCAGCGGGGAGGAAGGGAGUAAAGUUAAUACCUUUGCUCAUUGACGUUACCCGCAGAAGAAGCACCGGCUAACUCCGUGCCAGCAGCCGCGGUAAUACGGAGGGUGCAAGCGUUGAUCGGAAUUACUGGGCGUAAAGCGCACGCAGGCGGUUUGUUAAGUCAGAUGUGAAAUCCCCGGGCUCAACCUGGGAACUGCAUCUGAUACUGGCAAGCUUGAGUCUCGUAGAGGGGGGUAGAAUUCCAGGUGUAGCGGUGAAAUGCGUAGAGAUCAGGAGGAAUACCGGUGGCGAAGGCGGCCCCCUGGACGAAGACUGACGCUCAGGUGCGAAAGCGUGGGGAGCAAACAGGAUUAGAUACCCUCGUAGUC